This 73-nucleotide transfer RNA is filed under the name Merops nubicus (carmine bee-eater). The record is from Rfam by way of RNAcentral. Lineage: Eukaryota; Metazoa; Chordata; Aves; Coraciiformes; Meropidae.
UCCCUGGUGGUCUAGUGGUCAGGAUUUGGUGCUCUCACUGCUGGGGCCUGGGGUUGGAUUCCCAAUCAGGGAA